Molecule: non-coding RNA, 28 nt
Filed under: Mus musculus (house mouse)
Lineage: Eukaryota; Metazoa; Chordata; Mammalia; Rodentia; Muridae
Source: RNAcentral
GACAAAGAUUCUGACCAAGGCCCAAUGU